AACGAACGCUGGCGGCGCGCCUAAUACAUGCAAGUCGAACGAGAAGCUGUAGCAAUACAGUUGUACAGUGGCGAACGGGUGAGGAAUACAUGGGUGACCUACCCUCGAGUGGGGAAUAACCAGCCGAAAGGUUGGCUAAUACCGCGUACGCUUCCCAGUCUACGGGUUGGGAAGGAAAGCGAUGCCGUGGGUAUCGCGCUCAAGGUUGGGCUCAUGUCCUAUCAGCUUGNGGUGGGGGUAACGGCUCACCAAGGCAACGACGGGUAGCUGGUCUGAGAGGACGAUCAGCCACACUGGCACUGCGACACGGGCCAGACUCCUACGGGAGGCAGCAGUAAGGAAUAUUGCGCAAUGGGCGAAAGCCUGACGCAGCGACGCCGCGUGGGGGAUGAAGGUCUUCGGAUUGUAAACCCCUUUCGGGUAGGGAAGAUGGAACGAGCAAUCGUUCGGACGGUACCUCCAGAAGCAGCCACGGCUAACUUCGUGCCA
RNAcentral lists this ribosomal RNA (489 nucleotides) under uncultured bacterium. Its description in RNAcentral is "bacterial SSU rRNA". It matches the Rfam family "Bacterial small subunit ribosomal RNA", at positions 29 to 510 of the family's 1533-position model. The record is from RNAcentral.